CAGUCUCUCCAAUUAUUGAAACAGUCUUCUCAGCUCUUUCCUCUCAAACCUUAUUGAUUGAUUAGGGAAAUACAUUAACUCCUCCAAGUGAUUAUUUGGAGCCUUUUUGUCAUCAUAGAAUUAUUUCCUUGCUUAACACGCCUCAUGCCAUUUUAUUUCCUUCUUUAACACACCUCAUGCCAUUUAAGCUUACAACUCUAUUUAGUUUGUCAUCUACUUGGAUACAAUUAGGUGGUCAGUUCACUUGCAGGUUUUGUGUACUUAUACUAGGAUCCAAUCUGUUCUGGGUAACCAAUGAUGAUAGAGAUCUUGUGUAUGAAUACUGUACAUCUACAUGAAUGGUAAUGAAAACCUUGCUAGCUUUAUCGGCUAAUUACGCAUGUUAACUUGAAUAACUGUUCUUGGAUAUCUAAAUGUAGUCAUAAUUAAACUAUACAAGAUUUUGUCGAGCCAUUGUAGUCACUUCCUCCAGUGCUGCAGAAGUAGUAAGCUUUUUAUUGGUUUAAAUUUUCUAUACAAGAUUUUAUCCAGGCAUGCUGUAUCUGUUUAUUUGCAUAUUAUGUGUCUGUAAAACUCUAAUGUUGAACAACUCAAAAUAAAUAGGAAGCAGUGAUCCAUGGCUUUGAGAUAAAUAUGUCGAGGAGAAAAGAAGAUUUCUUACCUGGGGCUGGCAAACUCGAAGAGCUUUCCCGUGGGUGAGAAAAUGAUGAGAGCAACUUUAGCAUCGCACAGAAGUGACAGCUCGCUGGCCUUCUUCAACAGUCCCAUUUUGCCCUUGGAGAAAGUCGGCCCAUGAUAUACAGGGUUUUGUAUCCUCUUUAGCUGAAACUUUCCCUUCGCCAUUUUAUUCUAUUUGCAAAAUGGAAAAAGAUCUCAAGAUACAAAAGCCCCACACCUCAAACCAUUAUAUAUGAUCUGUGUCACUAAUUUUCUGCUUCUUUUAUGUGAUGAUACUAAUUGCUCUUAUUCUGUCUGAUCAGGGCUAUCAUUUACUUGGCUUUCAUGUAGGGCUGAAGCGGACCAAUUGGAAGAUUAUAAUAAUUUAAAAAACACUCAAAAAAUACAUGUCAUCAAUUAAGAGGAAGAAUGAAUAUUAUUCAAAUGAAAAAUUUAAUGAAAAUUACAAUAACAGUGAUUAUAUUUAUAGAUUGCUAAAGCCUAUCAAACAAGAACAAAAAUUAAAAACGAAUAACAAUUUUUCACAAUAGAGAGUAGUUUCUAAAGAUAAAACCACUGCAUAGACAGCAGUUUCUAAAGAUAAAAAAAAGUAGAUUAAUGUUUAUAUUAGCAAUUUUCAAACUAUUAUUUUAUUAACAAAUCAAAAACACAUUUUUAGUAGUUUCCAUCACAGCCUUGAUCUCCAAUAUAGCAAUCUCCAAUUCAUCAUUCUAAUCUUGAGCAUAUCAAAAUUAUCUUCAAUCUCCCCCAGAAUAAUCAAUGGAGGUGAGUCCCAAUUGAUGCCUAAAGGCAAUAAAACUAGACAUAAGAAGAGCUUUGGUGAAGAUAUCAACUACUUGUUCAGGAUAAAGGACGGAACUGUAACUCCACUUGCCCAUCUUGAACCAAGUCAUGAUCUCUAUGUGCUUCAUUCUAGCAUGAAACACAGUAUUCUUUUUCAUGUAAAUAGUGCUAUUUUUAUCACAAUAGAUGGUGGCUGGAUACUAUUGAACCAAAUGUGGAUCUAUCAAUAUCCAUCUAAUCCAAACUGCUUGAGAACUUGUUGAGGUGGCUGCAAUGUAUUCUGCUUCUGCUAAAGAAAGAGCCAUAGUUGCCUCUUUCUUACUACUCCAAGAGACAACUCUAGAACCAAGUGAAAAAACAUAGCUAGAUGUAGAUUUUCUAUCAUCUACUGAGCCAACCCAAUAAGAAUUUGUGUAACCAAUUAGCUCAAACUUAUUAGUGGAAGAAUAAUAAAUGCCAAAAUUUUGUGUCACUCACAUACCUCAUGAUUCUUUUAGCAGCUCGCCAAUGAGUCUCAUGUGGAUCUUAAAUGAAUCGAGAGAUGAGGCUCACAACAUACAUAUUAUUGGGUCUAUUGGUUGUGAGAUAAAUAAGACUACCAACCAAACUUCUAUACAAAGUAGCAUUAACAUUGGGACUUGCAUCUUCCUUGGUAAAUUUUUCUCCAAGUGCUAUGGGGGUUGCAAGUGCUUUGCAUGCCACCAUUCUAAACUUCUUCAAUAAAUCAGCUACAUACUUGGUUUGGGAAAUAUAUAUACCAUUUGAUGUUUGUUAUACUUCCACACCAAAAAAAUAGUGCAUGAGUCCCAGAUCUGACAUUUCAAAUUCUUGUCUCAUUUCUACCUAAAACUUAUCCAUGAGAGCUUUGUUGUUACCUUUAUAAAUAAGAUCAUCAACAUAAAGGCAAACUUUGAGAAUAUUAUUACCAAUACAUUGGACAUACAAGGUAGGCUCUAAGCGGCUUCUAUUGAAUCCCUUCUUCAUAAAAUAAUUGUCAAUCCUAGCAUACCAGGCAUGAGGAGCUUGCUUCAACCCAUAAAGGGCUUUCUUAAACUUGUAGACUAGGUGUUCUUUUCUUGAAACUUCAUAACCCAUAGGUUGUUCCACAUAAACUUUCUCACCUAGAUAACCAUUCAAGAAUGUUGAUUUCACAUCCAUAUGAAAAAUUGGUCACUUGUAUUGUGUUGCAAUACCCAAUAUAAUCUUGACUAUAUCAAGUCUAUCCACAAAAGAAAAAGGCUCUACAUAAUCCACUCCAAGAGUUUUUGCAAACCCUUUGGCAAUUAAUCUUGUCUUAUGUCAUUCCAUUGAACCAUCUGCAUGAUAUUUGACUUUAUAUAUCCUUUUCACACCAAUCACCUGCUUUUUUGGGGGAAGUUGCACUAAUUCUCAAGUAUUAUUUUUAUGAAUGGAAUUCAUCUCAUCAUUCACAGCAUUAAACCAUAUUGAUUCUCUUACUACUUCAUAUACAGAGGGUUCAACUUGGAUUGUACUAAGCAAAGAAAAAUUAACAACUAGAUUUAUAUUUGCACUUCUUUGAUAAAUAUCAACUAAACUCCGUACCUUUCUUUGAGUUGAUGCUAGAGGUGAAAGUGGAGGUGAAUCUUCACUUGAGUUUGUGCUAAUAGAAGAACUCGGUGAACUUGGAGGAAUAGAACUAAAGCUUGAACUUCCACUUGAGCUUGUAAGGAGAGGAGGAACACUAUUAUCUCAAAGUAAUUAGAUUUACCUGUCAUGUGAUUUGAACAGCCACUGUCCCGAACUAGACAUCCUCUUGGUUUUCUUUUGCCAAAUUACAUGUGAAGAAUGUGGAAUGCUUUGCUUUAGAAGACUCUUUUGUAAAAUUUGCUCAGACUUAUUCAAGUCAAAUUUCAUUUUUAUGUACUCAGAUUCAUAGUGCCCAUGUCUUUCACAAUAUUUGCACUGGAUACUCCUUUGAUCCAUAGAACUUCUUCCUCUUCCUUUAUUGUUUCCUCUUCCUCUUCCUCUACCUCUUUCUCUGUUAUUACCAGAAGAUUCACCUUGAGAUUUAGUAGUGUGAGAGAGAGGAGAUUUGAACUUUUCUUCAAUGUUGACAGAAGAUUAGAAAGCUUGCACAAAACUUUCCGUAGAAUGUUGUAUACACUCCCCAUGAGAUUGCAAAGAACCAAUCAACUCUGCAACUUGGAAAGUAGUUAGAUCUUUACUUUCUUCAAUGGUUAUCACCACUGGAUCAAAUUUAGAAGGAAGAGAUCUCAAAAAAAAUUCUACAGUUUUUUGUUCUAUUAUAGUUUCUCCUUGAACCCUAAGAUGAUUCACAAUACCUUGAUUCCUGUUAAUAAUUUCAUGCAUGGACUCAAAUUCCUUCAUCCUCAAAUUUUCAAAUUCUCUUCGAAAAGUUUGAAGUCUUACAAAUUUGAUUUUGUCUAUACCUGGUAUGUAGUGUGAAGAGCCUCCCAUGCAUCAUUUGAUUUUGUCAUACUAGCAAUUCAAGGGAAAAUUAAAUCAUCCAAUGCAGAUUGAAUAGUGAAAAGAGCCUUAUUGUCCUUUUUUUGUCUUGAUUCAGCUGAGUUUUUUGUUGUGGUGUCCAUACAUUUAAUGCAUUCUGGUUUGCAGGUUUUAGGUAUCCUCCUUCCACUAAUUUCCAAAGUUCUUGGGAUAAUAGCAGGGCCUUCAUUUUGAUACUCCAAUAAUCAUAAUUGUCUCUGGUAAACAACGGAAGUGUAAAUGGUAAAUCUUUUCUAUUAGCCAUCUUGAAAUAACCGUUUCUCUAACCUUGCUACUUGCACAAUCAGAAAUCUUGCAACCUGCUUUAACCAAAUGAAAGAUUAUAAUAGUUUAAAAAACAUUCACAAAAGAAGACUGAAUAUUAUUGAUAUGAAAAACUUAUUCAAAAUUACAACAACAGUGAUUACAUUUAUAGACUGCUAAAGCCUAUCAAACAAGAAUAGAAACUAAAAACUAAUAACAAUUUUCCACUGCAUAGACAACAGUUUCUAAAGAUAAAAACCACUACAUUGACAGGAAUUUCUAAAGAUCAAAAACUAGAUUAAUGUUUAUCUUAGUAGUUUCCAAAGUACUAUUUUAUUAACAAAACAAAAACACAUUCUUAGCAGUUUUCAUCACAGCCUUGAUCUCCAAUAUAGCAAUCUCCAGCGCAUCAUUCUAAUCUUGAGUAUAUCGAACUUUUCUUCACUAAUGUCUUAAAACCUCGCGGGAUUACACUUGAAUGUAAUCUAAGCUGAUUUUAUAAGAUGUGGAAACUACUAUUUUAUUAACAAAACAAAAACACAUUCUUAGCAGUUUUCAUCAUAGCUUUGAUCUCCAAUAUAGCAAUCUCCAGCGCAUCAUUCUAAUCUUGAGUAUAUCGAACUUAUCUUCACUAAUGUCUUAAAACCUUGCAAGAUUACACUUAAAUGUAAUCUAAACUGAUUUUAUAAGAUGCAGAAACUACUAUUUUAUGAACAAAACAAAAACACAUUCUUAUCAGUUUUCAUCAAAGUUACCCCGAGUUUCCGGGACGGGGACGGCGGGACGCGUUUCCGGGACGACAAUUUUUUUUGCCAAAUUUGGGAACGACGAGGGACGACAAAGGGGACGGCUAUAUAAAAUAUAGGAAAAAUUUAAAAUAUUUAGAAAAUUUUCAAAAUUCUAAAUGUUCAUAUGAAAACAUGGAUAAAGCAUGCAUGCAUACAUUAUAUUCAUAUGAAAACAAUAAAACAUGGAUAUAGCAUGUGUAUGAUACUAUGAAAAGUUGAAAACAUUUUAGAAAGUAAAUUCUGAACAUACAACAUUGUUAAUACUCAAUAUACAAUAUGCAAUUAUGCAUUCAUAAAUCAGAAUUUCAAUUCAUUCACAUUGUCAAUAUGCAUAUCAAUAGACUCGGAGGUUAAAGUUUCCCUACUUCUAUCGACGCAAUUUCCCCCCAUAUUUUUCAACGGGGGUUUGGGGGCAACGCCCCCAAGGUGGGGUCAAGGGGCAUCGCCCCUUGCGGGGUCAAGGGGCAACGCCCCUUGCGCGCUCCCUGUCGCGAUACAAGGCGAGGUCGAGGGGCAGUGCCCCGUGAGGCCAAAAAAACUUAUUCUUUAAUAAAGGCGUUGGGUGUUAUUUUUCUAUUGACUCGCCGAGUUUGGAGAUUUUCUAAUCUCUGUGUCAAAAUGCCCAAAGGCUGCACUGCUGCCAUAUAGUUUCAUUGUCAAAAUUAUGAAUUAAAUUAAUAAAUUUAAAAUUUAAUUAAUGCUAGCUUUUAAUUUUAUUUUAUUUUAAUAGCAGUUUGAAUUAAUAAGGGGCCUCUAUUAGAAAAUUUAAAUAAAAAAUUAAAAAUACAACUUUUUAAAUUUUUUUAAUAUUUUUUAAGGGCCUUAGAUUGGGGGACGUUUGGCCGUCCCAGCCAUCCCCAGCCGUCCCCGGGACGUACGGACGUCCCCCAGAACUAAGGCAGGCAUCCCCCCGUUUCGGGGACGUCCCCUCAAAAAAUAGGACAAUUUGGAGACGGGAGAAAUGUCCCCUGACCGUCCCCAAGUCUUCGAAACGUCCCCGAAAUGGGGACGGGGGUUUUCAAGUCGGGGACGCGUCCCCAAAUAACUCUGCUUUUCAUCACAGCCUUGAUCUCCAAUAUAGCAAUCUCCAGCGCAUCAUUCUAAUCUUGAGUAUAUCGAACUUAUCUUCGCUAAUGUCUUAAAACCUCGCGAGAUUACACUUAAAUGUAAUCUAAGCUGAUUUUAUAAGAUCCUUGGGCAAUACGCGUAAAUUUUCUGUUAAUUUUUACAGCUUUCUCAAACAGCACAGAGACAAAUUAUUGGAGUCUGCAGCUGCUUAAAAGCAACAGAGAGCUGCAUUUAGAAACAGAAAAAUCAACAAUAAUAUUUUUUUUUUACAUGCAGCUCAUGUAAGCAUGCGAUCUAAAACUAAUUUAAAUGCAAAUUAUAUUUAAAAUUAGAUGUGUAAACUAAAAACUGCACAUGAUAGUGACAGUGAAGGUGAAAUGCAUCACUUAUCAGCAUGCUCCCCUUUGAUAUUAAGAGGGUUCAAAUGUAAUCUCGAAUUGUCAAAGAUUGAAUUUCAAUUGCCUUUGUGAAGAUAUCAGCAAGUUUUUUAUUGAAGCUUGAUGUAUUUCAAUUCAUUUUUUAUUUUUUUUCAAUCUCAAAUACCAAAGUUUAAAGUGUCAUUCACAUACCUCUGUAUUCUCUUCGCUUCCUUGAUAUUUUUUUCAAAUGGCUAUGUCAUAUACUUUGAAAAAAGAGAGACUAAAGAAGCAACAUUCGGUUUUGAGUGGGUUAUAAACAUUAAAAUUCAGCUUACAAUACUUUUGUAAGCUGUAUUAUCAAUGGAGUGGAGGUUAAUUUUUUCAACAUAUAUUUUGCAUACUUUGUAUAAUUAUAAAAGGUUCCAAUCUGUGUAUAACUGCUGUGCAUGUGUGUGUGAAUGGUAAUAUAAACCUUGCUAGCUUUAUCGGCUAAUUACACAUGUUAACUUGAAUAAUCGUUCUUGGGUAUCUAAAUGUAGUCAUAAUUAAACUAUACAAGAUUUUGUCGAGCCAUUGUAGCCUUUUCCUCCAAUGCUGCAGAAAUGCUCAAAAUAAAUAGGAAGCAGUAAUACAUGGCUUUGAGAUAAAAAUGUCGAGGAGAAAAGAAGAUUUCUUACCUGGGGGUGAGAAAAUGAUGAGAGCAACUUUAGCAUCGCAGAGAAGUAAGAGCUCACUGGCCUUCUUCAACAGUCCCAUUUUGCCCUUGGAGAAAGUCAGCCAACGAUUUACAGGGGCCAUCAUUUACUUGGCUUUCAUGUAGGGCUGAAGCGGACUAAUGUCUUAAAACUUCACGAGAUUAUAGUUAAAUGUAAUCUUAGCUGAUUUUCUAAGAAUUAUGGUGGAAACCGGCACCACACUUAUCCCCGUCUUCUAUCAUUCUCAGCCUUCUGAUUCUAUACAGGCCCUCUAGAUGAUAACGAAAUUAUGGCAAAUAAUUUUUGAUUCAAGCUGCACAGAAUUUUUUUGCUCAACACACAAUAAUGGUCUGUAUUACUUCCAAACGAACUGUUACCCAACAGUUUUUACAGCUUUCUCGAACAGCACAGAGACAAAUUAUUGGAGUAUGCAGCUGCUUAAAAGCAACAGAGAGCUGCAUUUAAAAACAGAAAAUGUUAACAAUAAUUUAUUUUUCUUACAUGCAGCUUAGAUGUCUAUACUAAAAACUGUACGACACUGAAGAUGAAAUGCAUCACUUAUCAGCAUGCUCCGGGUUCACAAUAUAAUCUCGAAGUGUCAAAGAUUAAAAAAGAUUGGACUUUUGCAAUCGUAGAUAUCAACAAGUUGUUCUUGAGCAUUGAUGUAUUUC
Molecule: long non-coding RNA, 7772 nt
Organism: Cryptomeria japonica (Japanese cedar)
Lineage: Eukaryota; Viridiplantae; Streptophyta; Pinopsida; Cupressales; Cupressaceae
Exons: 3
Source: RefSeq, a predicted model, not a curated record